Molecule: ribosomal RNA, 497 nt
Filed under: uncultured bacterium
Lineage: Bacteria
Description: partial 16S ribosomal RNA
Rfam family: Bacterial small subunit ribosomal RNA
Source: RNAcentral
GAUGAACGCUGGCGGCGUGCCUAAUACAUGCAAGUCGAGCGAACGGACGAGAAGCUUGCUUCUCUGAUGUUAGCGGCGGACGGGUGAGUAACACGUGGAUAACCUACCUAUAAGACUGGGAUAACUUCGGGAAACCGGAGCUAAUACCGGAUGAUAUUUUGAACCGCAUGGUUCAAAAGUGAAAGACGGUCUUGCUGUCACUUAUAGAUGGAUCCGCGCUGCAUUAGCUAGUUGGUAAGGUAACGGCUUACCAAGGCAACGAUGCAUAGCCGACCUGAGAGGGUGAUCGGCCACACUGGAACUGAGACACGGUCCAGACUCCUACGGGAGGCAGCAGUAGGGAAUCUUCCGCAAUGGGCGAAAGCCUGACGGAGCAACGCCGCGUGAGUGAUGAAGGUCUUCGGAUCGUAAAACUCUGUUAUUAGGGAAGAACAUAUGUGUAAGUAACUGUGCACAUCUUGACGGUACCUAAUCAGAAAGCCACGGUUAACUACGUG